RNAcentral lists this ribosomal RNA (235 nucleotides) under Salmonella enterica. RNAcentral's name for it is "partial 16S ribosomal RNA". It matches the Rfam family "Bacterial small subunit ribosomal RNA", at positions 1 to 229 of the family's 1533-position model. Lineage: Bacteria; Pseudomonadati; Pseudomonadota; Gammaproteobacteria; Enterobacterales; Enterobacteriaceae. The record is from RNAcentral.
AAAUUGAAGAGUUUGAUCAUGGCUCAGAUUGAACGCUGGCGGCAGGCCUAACACAUGCAAGUCGAACGGUAACAGGAAGCAGCUUGCUGCUUUGCUGACGAGUGGCGGACGGGUGAGUAAUGUCUGGGAAACUGCCUGAUGGAGGGGGAUAACUACUGGAAACGGUGGCUAAUACCGCAUAACGUCGCAAGACCAAAGAGGGGGACCUUCGGGCCUCUUGCCAUCAGAUGUGGUG